CAAGUCGAACGGGUUUCGGCAGUUCAUCGCCGGAACGAGUGGCAGACGGGUGAGCAAGACGUGAACAAUCUUCCUUCGAGAGGGGGAUAACGCCGGGAAACCGGCGCUAAUACCGCGUGAGACCACGUCCCCCGCAUGGGGAUGGGGCUAAAGCUCCGCAAGGGGCGCUUGAAGAGGAGUUCACGGCCUAUCAGCUUGUUGGUGAGGUAACGGCUUACCAAGGCUACGACGGGUAGGCGGUCUGAAAGGACGACCGCCCACAAUGGCACUGAGACACGGGCCAUACUCC
This 289-nucleotide ribosomal RNA is filed under the name uncultured bacterium. RNAcentral's name for it is "partial 16S ribosomal RNA". It matches the Rfam family "Bacterial small subunit ribosomal RNA", at positions 58 to 339 of the family's 1533-position model. The record is from RNAcentral.